CGCAAGAAAAAAAGAUUUACUUGGAGAAAAAAGGAGAAAUGGAUAACAAGCCUAGAUAAUGAUGAGGGCCCAGCUUGUUACCUGAAUUUGUGCUUGGGCAUUGACCCAAUCUGGGGGGAGACUUUAGGGACUAAAAAAGAUAGUACCUUGGAUGGUGAGGGGCACGAUCUACUAGGGGAAAGCCGAGAGAUAGAGAAGGAAAAGUGAGGGUUUGUGGAAAAAGAGGUGUUUGAGGCCGAAACGAGUGAAGAAAAAUUGUUAGCCCUGAUGAUUUUGAGUGAAAGAGAGGAACAGGACUUGUGCUCAAUUUACUCUACUCUAGAGGAGUUCGAUGGCAAAGGGAGAUUGGUGUCCAAUGCCACCUAUGACGAGGAUUUGUCAAACCUUGCAAUGAUUAUGGUUAAGGAUAAUGCCCAGGCGAUUGCUACUAACCAUGACUCAGAGAUUGAAAAAUCUUGCAGAUAAGUUUGGAGGGCGCCAACAUUAUUGCAGGUGAAAUGGAUUAUUGUUCUAAUUGGGUCG
This 522-nucleotide long non-coding RNA is filed under the name Carica papaya (papaya). RNAcentral's name for it is "long non-coding RNA (CPAP_LNC001392)". The record is from RNAcentral. Lineage: Eukaryota; Viridiplantae; Streptophyta; Magnoliopsida; Brassicales; Caricaceae.